This 647-nucleotide long non-coding RNA is filed under the name Calidris pygmaea (Spoon-billed sandpiper). RNAcentral describes it as "lncRNA (ENSCPGG00000003562.1)". Lineage: Eukaryota; Metazoa; Chordata; Aves; Charadriiformes; Scolopacidae. The record is from RNAcentral.
GUGAAUUAGUGAACACAGGAGCAGUCCCCUGCCUGCUGUUCUCCUGGGGAUGAGCCAGCUGGUUUCUCCAAAGAAGUCACAUGAUUCAAAGGCAUCCAGGAAAUCUGACAGCCUGCUGAGGUGCCGCAAAGAGACAGGAGCAAACGAAAGUUAUUCCGCAGAUUUCCCAUUCCCAGGGCAUCCCUUGUCCAGGCGGGUGGAACCACAUCAUGUGCAAGGGGGCGGUCAUUAACGGGGCGAUCAUUAACGGGGCAAUCAUUAACAGGGUGUUCAUUUGUGUUCCAGGUGGUCAGCUCGACCAACGGGGAGCUGAACGUGGACGACCCGACGGGGGCACACUCCAACGCGCCGAUAACAGCGCAGGCGGAGGUGGAGGUGGUGGAGGAAGCGAAGUGCUGCUGCUUCUUUAAGAGGAAACGGAAGAAGACGGCUCAGCGCCACAAGUGACCGGUGCCUCCUGGGCCUUGCAGGAACCACCUCGCCUGCAGCUCCUGCCCUGUCUCACUGGAAGGGGCUUCUCUUUAGGGGGGAGGAGGAGGAGGCAUAGGAGGAAGAGAGAAAGAAAGAAAAAAAAAAAAACAAAACAAAACAAAACAAAAAGUGACAUUUUAAACCAAAAAGAGAAGAAAACGUUCCAAAACAAACCA